This 462-nucleotide ribosomal RNA is filed under the name uncultured bacterium. Its description in RNAcentral is "bacterial SSU rRNA". It matches the Rfam family "Bacterial small subunit ribosomal RNA", at positions 33 to 507 of the family's 1533-position model. The record is from RNAcentral.
ACGACGCUGGCGGCGUGCUUAACACAUGCAAGUCGAACGAUGAAGCCCAGCUUGCUGGGUGGAUUAGUGGCGAACGGGUGAGUAACACGCGGGUGAUCUGCCCUGCACUCUGGGAUAAGCCUGGGAAACUGGGUCUAAUACCGGAUAUGACCUCUUGCUGCAUGGCGAGGGGUGGAAAGUUUUCGGUGCAGGAUGAGCCCGCGGCCUAUCAGCUUGUUGGUGGGGUAAUGGCCUACCAAGGCGACGACGGGUAGCCGGCCUGAGAGGGCGACCGGCCACACUGGGACUGAGACACGGCCCAGACUCCUACGGGAGGCAGCAGUGGGGAAUAUUGCACAAUGGGCGAAAGCCUGAUGCAGCGACGCCGCGUGAGGGAUGACGGCCUUCGGGUUGUAAACCUCUUUCAGCAGGGACGAAGCGAAAGUGACGGCACCUGCAGAAGAAGCACCGGCCAACUACGUG